RNAcentral lists this ribosomal RNA (499 nucleotides) under uncultured bacterium. RNAcentral's name for it is "partial 16S ribosomal RNA". It matches the Rfam family "Bacterial small subunit ribosomal RNA", at positions 30 to 523 of the family's 1533-position model. The record is from RNAcentral.
AUUGAACGCUGGCGGCAUGCCUUACACAUGCAAGUCGAACGGCAGCACGGGAGUAAUCCUGGUGGCGAGUGGCGAACGGGUGAGUAAUGUAUCGGAACGUGCCCAAUCGUGGGGGAUAACGCAGCGAAAGCUGUGCUAAUACCGCAUACGAUCUAUGGAUGAAAGCGGGGGAUCGUAAGACCUCGCGCGAUUGGAGCGGCCGAUAUCAGAUUAGGUAGUUGGUGGGUAAAGGCCUACCAAGCCGACGAUCUGUAGCUGGUCUGAGAGGACGACAAGCCACACUGGGGCUGGGACACGGCCCAGACUCCUACGGGAGGCAGCAGUGGGGAAUUUUGGACAAUGGGCGCAAGCCUGAUCCAGCCAUGCCGCGUGCGGGAAGAAGGCCUUCGGGUUGUAAACCGCUUUUGUCAGGGAAGAAAUCCUUUGGGUUAAUACCUCGGGGGGAUGACGGUACCUGAAGAAUAAGCACCGGCUAACUACGUGCCAGCCGCCGCAGUAA